GCUCGACAUCGAGACAGUUGUUAAAGGAGCAAUCCGCCUUAUGAGCAGCCUACGGCAGAUUAGCUAGUUGGUAAGGUAAUGGCUUACCAAGGCUACGAUCUGUAACCGACCUGAGAGGGUGGUCGGUCACACUGACACUGAAUAACGGGUCAGACUCCUACGGGAGGCAGCAGUCGGGAAUUUUGGGCAAUGGGCGAAAGCCUGACCCAGCAACGCCGCGUGAAGGAUGAAGUAUUUCGGUAUGUAAACUUCGUAAGAAUAGGAAGAAUAGAUGACGGUACUAUUUGUAAGGUCCGGCUAACUACGUGCCAGCAGCCGCGGUAAUACGUAGGGACCAAGCGUUGUUCGGAUUUACUGGGCGUAAAGGGCGCGUAGGCGGCGUGGUAAGUCAGCUGUGAAAUCUCCGAGCUUAACUCGGAACGGUCAGCUGAUACUGCUGUGCUAGAGUACAGAAAGGGCAAUCGGAAUUCUUGGUGUAGCGGUGAAAUGCGUAGAUAUCAAGAGGAACACCUGAGGCGAAGGCGGGUUGCUGGGCUGAUACUGACGCUGAGGCGCGAAAGCUAGGGUAGCAAACGGGAUUAGAUACCGCGGUAGUCCUAGCCCUAAACGA
RNAcentral lists this ribosomal RNA (610 nucleotides) under uncultured bacterium. RNAcentral describes it as "bacterial SSU rRNA". It matches the Rfam family "Bacterial small subunit ribosomal RNA", at positions 184 to 809 of the family's 1533-position model. The record is from RNAcentral.